GAAGAAAAUGGUUCCUCAUUUUUGCAGUUGUGACAAAUCCAGCCUGUCCUCUAAAAGAGCAGACCUGCUCCAAUAGGAUGGAUGCAUAGAAUGCAGUAAUGGAAAAUAAGCCUCGUGAUGCCCUCAGGCUCUAGCACUGACUCCUCCACGGCGUGCAGCCUGGCUCGGAGAAGGACUCUCACAGCCAAAUUCCUAUAGCCUGCUGCAGUCCUUCUUUACUUUCCAUUCAGUCCUACAGGAAAAAUUCCUCUGACUUCUGCCAUAUCUACCUUUGCCUUUGAAUGUUUUCAUUGGAUUGCUACAUUUCAGAUUAAAUUUAAAUAGC
Molecule: long non-coding RNA, 325 nt
Organism: Gallus gallus (chicken)
Lineage: Eukaryota; Metazoa; Chordata; Aves; Galliformes; Phasianidae
Source: Ensembl